RNAcentral lists this small RNA (891 nucleotides) under Ascochyta sp. 1 NV-2015. Its description in RNAcentral is "eukaryotic LSU rRNA". It matches the Rfam family "Eukaryotic large subunit ribosomal RNA", at positions 50 to 959 of the family's 3401-position model. The record is from RNAcentral. Lineage: Eukaryota; Fungi; Ascomycota; Dothideomycetes; Pleosporales; Didymellaceae.
GCGGAGGAAAAGAAACCAACAGGGAUUGCCCUAGUAACGGCGAGUGAAGCGGCAACAGCUCAAAUUUGAAAUCUGGCGUCUUUGGCGUCCGAGUUGUAAUUUGCAGAGGGCGCUUUGGCGUUGGCAGCGGUCCAAGUUCCUUGGAACAGGACGUCACAGAGGGUGAGAAUCCCGUACGUGGUCGCUGGCCUUCGCCGUGUAAAGCCCCUUCGACGAGUCGAGUUGUUUGGGAAUGCAGCUCUAAAUGGGAGGUAAAUUUCUUCUAAAGCUAAAUACUGGCCAGAGACCGAUAGCGCACAAGUAGAGUGAUCGAAAGAUGAAAAGCACUUUGGAAAGAGAGUCAAACAGCACGUGAAAUUGUUGAAAGGGAAGCGCUUGCAGCCAGACUUGCCUGUAGUUGCUCAUCCGGGCUUUUGCCCGGUGCACUCUUCUAUAGGCAGGCCAGCAUCAGUUUGGGCGGUUGGAUAAAGGUCUCUGUCAUGUACCUCUCUUCGGGGAGAACUUAUAGGGGAGACGACAUGCAACCAGCCUGGACUGAGGUCCGCGCAUCUGCUAGGAUGCUGGCGUAAUGGCUGUAAGCGGCCCGUCUUGAAACACGGACCAAGGAGUCUAACAUCUAUGCGAGUGUUUGGGUGUCAAGCCCGAGCGCGCAAUGAAAGUGAACGGAGGUGGGAACCUUUCGGGGUGCACCAUCGACCGAUCCUGAUGUCUUCGGAUGGAUUUGAGUAAGAGCAUAGCUGUUGGGACCCGAAAGAUGGUGAACUAUGCUUGAAUAGGGUGAAGCCAGAGGAAACUCUGGUGGAGGCUCGCAGCGGUUCUGACGUGCAAAUCGAUCGUCAAAUUUGGGCAUAGGGGCGAAAGACUAAUCGAACUAUCUAGUAGCUGGUCCUG